CCUACGGGGGGCAGCAGUGGGGAAUAGUGGACAAUGGGGGAAACCCUGAUCCAGCGACGCCGCGUGAGGGAAGAAGGUGUUCGGAGGGGAAACCUCUGUCAGUGGGGACGAGAAUGACGGUACCCACGGAGGAAGCCACGGCUAACUACGUGCCAGCAGCCGCGGUAAUACGUAGGUGGCAAGCGUUGUCCGGAAUUACUGGGUGUAAAGGGAGCGUAGGCGGGAUGGCAAGUCAGAAGUGAAAAUUAUGGGCUCAACUCAUAACCUGCUUUUGAAACUGAUAUUCUGGAGUGAAGUAGAGGCAAGCGGAAUUCCUAGUGUAGCGGUGAAAUGCGUAGCUAUUAGGUGGAACACCAGUGGCGAAGGCGGCUUGCUGGGCUUUUACUGACGCUGAGGCUCGAAAGCGUGGGGAGCAAACAGGAUUAGAUACCCGAGUAGUC
Molecule: ribosomal RNA, 440 nt
Filed under: uncultured bacterium
Lineage: Bacteria
Description: partial 16S ribosomal RNA
Rfam family: Bacterial small subunit ribosomal RNA
Source: RNAcentral